AGCUAAUAGAUACCCCGGGGUAGUCCCACGCCCUAAACGAUGUCUACUAGUUGUUGGUGGAGUAAAAUCCAUGAGUAAACGCAGCUAAACGCGUGAAGUAGACCGCCUGGGGAGUACGGUCGCAAGAUUAAAAACUCAAAGGAAUUGACGGGGGCCCGGGCACAAGCGGUGGAUUAUGUGGAUUAAAUUCGUAAUGCAACGCGAAAAACCUUACCUGGCCUUGACUAUGCCACUAACGAAGCAGAGUACUGCAUUAGGGUAGUCCCGUAACGGGAAAAGUUGGGACACAGGUGCUGCAUGGCUGUCGUCAGCUCGUGUCGUGAGAUGUUGGGUUAAGUCCCGCAACGUAGCGCAACCCUU
Molecule: ribosomal RNA, 360 nt
Filed under: uncultured bacterium
Lineage: Bacteria
Description: bacterial SSU rRNA
Rfam family: Bacterial small subunit ribosomal RNA
Source: RNAcentral